AAAAAUCAAAUAGAGUUUAGAAAUUUGUUAUAAAUAGCAAUGUAAGGAGCCUAAAGAAGGUAUCGAAAAAUAGCUUAGAAAUCUUUCCUUUUACUAUUUAUACAAUCUUCCUUGUAAAAAUCUUUCCUUUACUUUUAAUAAAAUAUCGAUCUUCCGCACUUUAUAUAGUUUGUAAUUGGUAUCAGAGGCCACCGGAGUUACGAUUCUUGGAGGAAUUCAUACCAUAAUAUCCAUUGUAAGUUCUUAUCUUUAAUUUACAAUCCAGUUAAUUCUGUGGUUAUUUAUCUUAAAACCCAUAUAUCUGUUAUUUUGUCUAACUUUUGCCUUUUUAAAGUCUAAGUGAGAGACGUUAGGCCUUUGUGUGUUAAGACAAAAUAAUAUAACAGACGGUUUUAGGUACCAAAGAUAAAUAACAUGGAAGAAACAGAUUGGUUAUAUAAAGAUAAAACCUGCAAUCAUAUUAUGCAUAUAGAUUUUAAAUAAUCCCAUAUGUAUAUAUUUAUAUAAAAUCUAAAAAAUGGGAAUUAAUAAUUAAAUCCUAUAUUAACGUCUGUUAUAUUAUUUUAUCAAUUCCAAUAGCUCUAAUUGGGUUUUUCAUUAAUUUCCAUUUUUCUACAGGAAUGACAUUUUCUCUACAACUACUUGUGGUAGCUCCAGUAUCUAAUAAAGCAUGCAAAGAAUAUGUUUUAUAUUCUCUAAAUUGAAGUGUAAUUUCUAUAUAUGUAUAAUAUUUCCUAUGUUGGAAAUUUGAAAAUGUAAUAAUAUCAUUUUUUCCAUUUUCAUUUGUUGAAUAAUUGUAGUAGAUUGUAUUUCUUCCAUUCUAGUAUUUCUAGAAUUUCUACUAGGUUCAAUGGAAAAAAUAGGUAUUUGAACUGUUUUCAUACCUAUUGGUGUUGUUGAAUUUGUGCUAAUAUUAUCUUCCUCUUCCUCUAUUUGAGAAUUAGAGGGUAAGACUAAAUUAUCAUUUGUAUUUGUUAUAGCAUUAUUUUUAAAAUAUAGUCUAUCUCUAGAUGACAUA
This 1018-nucleotide long non-coding RNA is filed under the name Gossypium barbadense (sea-island cotton). Its description in RNAcentral is "long non-coding RNA (GBAR_LNC006696)". The record is from RNAcentral. Lineage: Eukaryota; Viridiplantae; Streptophyta; Magnoliopsida; Malvales; Malvaceae.